AAAAAGGCAAACCCUAGGUUUCCGUACCAACGUUUGACUAUCCGUCUUAUAUGAAAUUUUUUUAUAAUUAAUAUUUUCAUUGUUGUUAGAUGAUAAAAUAUGAUUAAUACUUUAUGCGUGACUUAUAUUUUUUUAUGCGUGACUUAUAUUUUUAAUUUUGUUCGUAAUUUUUUCGAAAAAGACGGACGGUCAAGCGUUGGACACGGAAACCAAGGUUUGUCUUUUUU
Molecule: non-coding RNA, 227 nt
Organism: Oryza glumipatula
Lineage: Eukaryota; Viridiplantae; Streptophyta; Magnoliopsida; Poales; Poaceae
Source: Rfam